AACGAACGCUGGCGGCAUGCCUAACACAUGCAAGUCGAACGAUGCUUUCGGGCAUAGUGGCGCACGGGUGCGUAACGCGUGGGAAUCUGCCCUUGGGUUCGGAAUAACAGUGAGAAAUUGCUGCUAAUACCGGAUGAUGUCUUCGGACCAAAGAUUUAUCGCCCAGGGAUGAGCCCGCGUAGGAUUAGCUAGUUGGUGGGGUAAUGGCCUACCAAGGCGACGAUCCUUAGCUGGUCUGAGAGGAUGAUCAGCCACACUGGGACUGAGACACGGCCCAGACUCCUACGGGAGGCAGCAGUGGGGAAUAUUGGACAAUGGGCGCAAGCCUGAUCCAGCAAUGCCGCGUGAGUGAUGAAGGCCUUAGGGUUGUAUAGCUCUUUUACCCGGGAUGAUAAUGACAGUACCGGGAGAAUAAGCUCCGGCUAACUCCGUG
This 433-nucleotide ribosomal RNA is filed under the name uncultured bacterium. Its description in RNAcentral is "partial 16S ribosomal RNA". It matches the Rfam family "Bacterial small subunit ribosomal RNA", at positions 29 to 507 of the family's 1533-position model. The record is from RNAcentral.